CCUACGGGCUGCACCAGUGGGGAAUAUUGCACAAUGGGCGCAAGCCUGAUGCAGCCAUGCCGCGUGUAUGAAGAAGGCCUUCGGGUUGUAAAGUACUUUCAGCGGGGAGGAAGGUGUUGUGGUUAAUAACCACAGCGAUUGACGUUACCCGCAGAAGAAGCACCGGCUAACUCCGUGCCAGCAGCCGCGGUAAUACGGAGGGUGCAAGCGUUAAUCGGAAUUACUGGGCGUAAAGCGCACGCAGGCGGUUGAUUAAGUUAGAUGUGAAACCCCCGGGCUUAACCUGGGAAUGGCAUCUAAGACUGGUCAGCUAGAGUCUUGUAGAGGGGGGUAGAAUUCCAUGUGUAGCGGUGAAAUGCGUAGAGAUGUGGAGGAAUACCGGUGGCGAAGGCGGCCCCCUGGACAAAGACUGACGCUCAGGUGCGAAAGCGUGGGGAGCAAACAGGAUUAGAUACCCUUGUAGUC
Molecule: ribosomal RNA, 465 nt
Filed under: uncultured bacterium
Lineage: Bacteria
Description: bacterial SSU rRNA
Rfam family: Bacterial small subunit ribosomal RNA
Source: RNAcentral